AUUUGAGAAUGAAGCUCAGCUGAAGUUUGAACAGCAUACUGACAUAUACCAACAAGAAUGAAAAUAACUUAACAGCAAUUUUAUAAAUUCACAUCCCCCAGAGCACCACAGAGUAAAGAAAUACUGCAUAUGGGUAACAACUGGUUCUUAGUUACUAAAUCUGAAAGAUCAAAUACAGUUAAUUACAUAAGCUUCUCUUGAGUUUUUCUGGGGGAAUAUACCAGGAGACCAUAAUCAAGCGCUUUCAGCAUCACCAGUGGCAUUUCAUACUGGUCCCAUGGUGUUAAUCCAGGUUUCUGGUAUUGCACUAAACACGAUGAAAAACAGGAGAGAACGGAGAGGGAUCAUGUUUUACCACAAUAUGCAAUUUAUGGGAGAGAUGAAGCGCUCAGGUGGAGAUGACUAGUGUCACGUGGUGUUUUAAGUGGAUACUCACAACGCUGGAACUCACAGCAAUAACAACAAGAGAUCCUCUAUAGACUGUUGAUGUAUAGCCAUGAGAAAAAAAAAAGAAAAAUUUUUGCUCUCAAUGAGCUUGCAUUUAAGCAUCUAUAAAAGGUGAGAUUAAUAUUUACUCAGUGAACUUUGAGUAAAGCAUUGGGUGCUUCAUUAUGUGGAGGAGUCUCAUCCAAUCAGUUGAAGGUGACUGAAUGGAACUAUAGAUCGACCUCACAUAAAUGAGAGGGAAUUCUGCAACAGAUCAUCUUUGCCUUUGAACUGCAGCAUGGACUCCCCUCUGGGUCUCCUGCCUGCCAGCCCACCCUGCAGAGUGCAUUUGCCAGCCUCCACAAUCAGGUAAUUUAUCCUGUGCAUUAACAAGAGGAAGUCUAGAGCCAUGGAAACCAAGUCAGGAAACUUCUCUCUUAUUAUUAGGUCCACUGCAAAUCUAGUUGAGACUGCAAAUCGAGUUUAGUCACCACCUCCGAGGAACUGUGUCCCGCAU
This 943-nucleotide long non-coding RNA is filed under the name Homo sapiens (human). RNAcentral's name for it is "HSALNT0313344". The record is from RNAcentral. Lineage: Eukaryota; Metazoa; Chordata; Mammalia; Primates; Hominidae.